AGAGUUUGAUCAUGGCUCAGGACGAACGCUGGCGGCGUGGAUUAGGCAUGCAAGUCGAACGGUAUGGACCUUUCGGGGUUCAGAGAGUGGCGAACGGGUGAGUAACACGUAGGUAAUCUACCCUCAAGACGGGGACAACCCAGGGAAACUUGGGCUAAUACCGGAUGUGUGUAGUGGCUAUUUUUCUGAUUAUCAUUAUUUACGUAAGUGAGUAAUAAUAAGAAGGGAAAGUGGUUAUUACAUAAAAGGUGGCGUAAGCUGCCGCUUGGGGAUGAGCCUGCGUCCUAUUAGUUAGUUGGUGAGGUAACGGCUUACCAAGGCGAUGAUAGGUAGGCGGCCUUAACGGGUGGUCGCCCACACUGGGAUUGAGAUACGGCCCAGACUCCUACGGGAGGCAGCAGUCGAGAAUAGUCUACAAUGGACGGAAGUCUGAUAGUGCGACGCCGCGUGAACGAAGAAUCCCUUCGGGGUGUAAAGUUCUUUUAUACGUGAGCAGUGUCCUUUAUAUUAAUAGUAUAAGGGGAGAGAUAUUAGCGUAUGAAUAAGCAACGGCUAACUCCGUGCCAGCAGCCGCGGUAACACGGGGGUUGCGAGCGUUGUCCGGAAUUACUAGGCGUAAAGUGCAGGUAGGCGGAUAAAUAAGUUUAAGGUUAAAGGCUACGGCUUACCCGUAGUAAGGCGUUAGAUACUGUUUAUCUGGAAUGCGGUUGAGGGAGACAGAAUUCCUGGUGUAGCGGUGGAAUGCGCAGAGAUCAGGAGGAAUACCGAAGGCGAAGGCAGUCUUCUAAGCCGAUAUUGACGCUAAACUGCGAAGGUGUGGGGAUCAAACAGGAUUAGAUACCCUGGUAGUCCACACAGUAAACGAUAAUCACUAGGUGUUGGGUUCUUAAGAGGAUUCAGUGCCGGAGCUAACGCGAUAAGUGAUUCGCCUGGGGAGUACGAUCGCAAGGUUGAAACUCAAAGGAAUUGACGG
This 973-nucleotide ribosomal RNA is filed under the name uncultured bacterium. Its description in RNAcentral is "bacterial SSU rRNA". It matches the Rfam family "Bacterial small subunit ribosomal RNA", at positions 8 to 916 of the family's 1533-position model. The record is from RNAcentral.